RNAcentral lists this ribosomal RNA (253 nucleotides) under uncultured bacterium. RNAcentral's name for it is "partial 16S ribosomal RNA". It matches the Rfam family "Bacterial small subunit ribosomal RNA", at positions 524 to 776 of the family's 1533-position model. The record is from RNAcentral.
UACGAGGGGGGCAAGCGUUGUUCGGAAUUAUUGGGCGUAAAGGGUGCGUAGGCGGUCUGACAAGUCUGAUGUGAAAUCUAUAGGCUCAACCCAUAGUCUGCAUCGGAAACUGUCGGGCUUGAGUAUGGGAGAGGUGAGUGGAAUUUCCGGUGUAGCGGUGAAAUGCGUAGAUAUCGGAAGGAACACCUGUGGCGAAAGCGGCUCACUGGACCAUUACUGACGCUGAGGCACGAAAGCUAGGGGAGCAAACAGG